RNAcentral lists this ribosomal RNA (490 nucleotides) under uncultured bacterium. RNAcentral describes it as "partial 16S ribosomal RNA". It matches the Rfam family "Bacterial small subunit ribosomal RNA", at positions 28 to 507 of the family's 1533-position model. The record is from RNAcentral.
GAUGAACGCUAGCUACAGGCUUAACACAUGCAAGUCGCGGGGCAGCAUGGGGGUUGCUUGCAAUCCCCGAUGGCGACCGGCGCACGGGUGAGUAACGCGUAUCCAACCUGCCCUUCACCACGGGAUAACCCGGCGAAAGUCGGACUAAUACCGUAUGUUGUCCAUUGACGGCAUCCGAUUUGGACGAAAGGUUUGGCGGUGAAGGCUGGGGAUGCGUCCGAUUAGCUGGACGGCGGGGUGACGGCCCACCGUGGCGACGAUCGGUAGGGGUUCUGAGAGGAAGGUCCCCCACACUGGAACUGAGACACGGGCCAGACUCCUACGGGAGGCAGCAGUGAGGAAUAUUGGUCAAUGGGCGUAAGCCUGAACCAGCCAAGUAGCGUGCAGGAUGACGGCCCUAUGGGUUGUAAACUGCUUUUAUGCGGGGAUAAAGUGGCCCACGUGUGGGUUUUUGCAGGUACCGCAUGAAUAAGAACCGGCUAAUUCCGUG